GGGGGGGGGUUCUCUUCAGUUUAUCACAUAACUGACUGCUUAUUAAAAAGUUUUAAAUAUUUUUUCACUAUGGUUCUUAUCUACUGUUUUGAUACGAUUUAUAACAUAUGAUUUUUUUUGUCAGGCAAGGAUAAAACUAAGAAAGAUAAAAGUUUUUUUCAGGUGUUUGUGCUUCAUUUAGACUUGAAAAGGGAAUAACGGACGACUAUAUUAAAGAGUUUGUUUUCAUAUAAUGCAUUGAACUUGCGAAUAUAUCUCACCUCACACGUUUUGAUCGGGCCAGUGAAACCUAGUUUAAUACGGUUUUAUUCAUUGAAGUUUGCAUACAUAGUUUUUAUUUAAAAAAAACACAAAUAAAGUAAGAUCUAUUAAUUAAUUGGACUGAAUAGACAAAACUA
This 398-nucleotide long non-coding RNA is filed under the name Mytilus galloprovincialis (Mediterranean mussel). Lineage: Eukaryota; Metazoa; Mollusca; Bivalvia; Mytilida; Mytilidae. The record is from RNAcentral.